RNAcentral lists this long non-coding RNA (2495 nucleotides) under Anas platyrhynchos platyrhynchos (common mallard). RNAcentral describes it as "lncRNA (ENSAPLG00000019627.1)". The record is from RNAcentral. Lineage: Eukaryota; Metazoa; Chordata; Aves; Anseriformes; Anatidae.
CCCGUGGGGUCGGGGCUCCCCCUCACCCCAUCCCCAUCCCUUUUUCCCCUCCCCGCAGGUGCCGCGGAGCCCCUCACUCACCCGUACCGGCCUCGGAGCCGCUCCCCGCCUCGGUACUGACUCAAAUACGCCGGGAACGGCAUUUAACGGGGCGGGGGGAGGCGGGGCGGGCCGAGCCACCCACCCCCAAAACACAAAAAUCCCGGCGCUGGCGGCCGGGGGCGAGCGGGAGCCGCGCAGGUGGGAGCGGCGGCGCCGGGGGCAGUGCGGGGGGGGCAACACGGUGGGGUCAGGGCACAGCCCCUGCCUCUGCACGGCACCGCAACGGCCAGCGAGAGGCUUCCUCCGCUGGGGUUUUGUUUGUUUUUUGCUUUGUUUUGGUGUUUUUUGUUAGUUUGUUUUGUAUUUUGGGUUGGGUUAUUAUUAUCUUUUUGCUCCUCUGUUGGCAGAGUGCAUGUCCCAUAAGGUCUGAAAGCCCCAGUUCCAGGACAGCGACCUCAUGUACCUGUGUCUGUCCACAGAGAAAAUCAUCCAGUUUCAGGUGCGAGGGGCUGAGGACCCCCAGAUGCUCCACAUUCAAGCUGCUCCACUUGGCUGCUCGCUGGGAGCAGGUCACGGGCAGGAGGAGGUCUGCCACCAACCGGGGUUACCUCCAAAUUCAGCUAAGAAUCACUGCAGAGCCACCUGCCUCCAGCCUUGGUGGGGACCUCAUCACCGAGGUGUUUGCAAAGCAUCUCAGUCCCCGUUUCACAGCAGAGGCACUGGGUCACCUGCUGGGACCAGGCAGAAGCCAGGCGUCCUUGGCCCCAGUCCCCUGCUGUCCCCACCGUGACGCGUUCAGAGCUGUGACCCUCUCCGCAGGCACUUCUGUGCCCAAAGGAUGCCAACCAUGAGCUGCUGAACGAUGGCUCCUGCUGGACCAGUAUUGGACCGAGAUGGUGGAGUACACCUCCAGCAAGAGCUUGUGCUUGUGAGCCUGUCAGCCCCAUGGUGCUCAUCGCUGCCCUGCAGGCGCCAGCCACCCGGUUGUGAAAUCUCGCUCACGAGCAAGUCAGCAGCACCCGCCUCUGCUGGAUGGCUCAGGGACCCCGCACGCAUGGGGACACACACGGAUCAUCCCCACAGACCCUGGUGGAGCUGCUCCAGCAUCUCCUGUGCUCCUGAGCCACGUUAUGGAUUAUCUGAAUUAUGUGUUCAGGCUUUUCCCCAUCCCCAAUGCAGCCAGAAAUGUGUGUGUAAAAGGAAGAAUGAAAAAACUUUCAGAUCACCCCAGGAGCUGGGAAAUUACAAAAAGCAUCACGUUUUUAGGGACACACAGAAUAACUUACACCAUGGGUGGCUGUGGUGUUGUGUGAGCGUCCUCGGGUGGUGGCAAGGUCCAAAGGCAAUGGGAAAUCACAGCAGUGCCCUGCUCCUGCUUCAGUACGGUGAUAGGCACUUAAUAUAUAUACAUUUCGAUAUACACAUACAUUUAUACAAAUAUAUAUGUAUAUAAACGGGUCCUGGAGGUGACAGCACCUUCAAAAACAUCAAGAAGAAAACUCUUGGCUUUCUCCCCCCGAAACAAUAUCCUACAGAAUAUCAAGAGUGGCUGCUGCCACCUAGCGAGCCGGCACACGGCGCACUGCUUGUUUUUGUUUUUGUUUUUCCAAAUAAUGCCCCGAGGGGGGAGGAAGGGAGCACAGCACAGGGCAAGCCAGGGCUGGCUGUGGCACUGAGCUCCCCAUUCCCUGCGGCCCCACAUUGCUGCAGGAUCCAGCCCUGCACCCCACAAGGACAGCCCUGCCCUGCCCCACAUCGCCCCCACUCCUCGGGGAGCAGAGGAUGGCCGUGGUGCCCCGGGAAUCUUCAUCUCCUGCUCACCCAGCUCGCACCCAGCCCACCGACACCGCUCCGUGCACCGAGGUGGCCAGAGGGCUGGCUUGCUCAGAGGGCAGUAGGUGAUUUUGCAGCCUGUAGGAAGGCUGGAAAAAAAAUGGGUUUAAAGACGAUUUUGCAUCUCUCAGAGCUGAAGGGGUGGGCAGAGAGGGGAGGCUGGCCAGCGGAGGCUGUAGGAGGGCGGCUGGCUGGUGCCAGCAGGGCUCGGUGCAGGUGGGCUUGCUGCCAGCCCUGGUUGUGAUCCAGAGAGGUGUUUGUGUUGGCAGGGGCAGCCCAGGGCAGGUCCCACUGCUGUCACAGCUCUGUCACCUCCCGCCUGGAGGACCCAGGGGGUGGCAGCGCGGCCAGCUCCCCCCCAGAGGACAGUGUGGCCACGGCGAGCAUCCCCUGGGACCCCACAUCAGGAAGGGCUGCAGCAGCCAGCGCUGGAGAUCCUGGGAAUGUGGGGUCACCAGCACCAGAGCAGCUGCCCCUGCAUCCCCUGCCACGCUGUUUGGUGUAAAUCUCACCUCAGGAGGGUGAGGACGUGGGGAUGCUGCUCUGCUCAUCAGCUGAGGGAAAGGUGCAGAGAAAACCACCUUUCUUGGAAAUUUUGUGCUCCUGACACCCAGGGCUGG